ACUCCUACGGGAGGCAGCAGUGGGGAAUUUUGGACAAUGGGGGAAACCCUGAUCCAGCCAUACCGCGUGAGUGAAGAAGGCCUUCGGGUUGUAAAGCUCUUUCAGACGGAAAGAAACGGCCACGGCUAAUACCUGUGGCUAAUGACGGUACCGUAAGAAGAAGCACCGGCUAACUACGUGCCAGCAGCCGCGGUAAUACGUAGGGUGCGAGCGUUAAUCGGAAUUACUGGGCGUAAAGCGUGCGCAGGCGGUUUUGUAAGACAGAUGUGAAAUCCCCGGGCUUAACCUGGGAACUGCAUUUGUGACUGCAAGACUAGAGUACGGCAGAGGGGGGUAGAAUUCCACGUGUAGCAGUGAAAUGCGUAGAUAUGUGGAGGAAUACCAAUGGCGAAGGCAGCCCCCUGGGUUAAUACUGACGCUCAUGCACGAAAGCGUGGGGAGCAAACAGGAUUAGAUACCCUGGUAGUCCACGCCCUAAACGAUGUCAACUAGGUGUUGGGGGAGGAGACUUCCUUAGUACCGCAGCUAACGCGUGAAGUUGACCGCCUGGGGAGUACGGUCGCAAGAUUAAAACUCAAAUGAAUUGACGG
Molecule: ribosomal RNA, 590 nt
Filed under: uncultured Rhodocyclaceae bacterium
Lineage: Bacteria; Pseudomonadati; Pseudomonadota; Betaproteobacteria; Rhodocyclales; Rhodocyclaceae
Description: bacterial SSU rRNA
Rfam family: Bacterial small subunit ribosomal RNA
Source: RNAcentral